CCUACGGGAGGCAGCAGUGAGGAAUAUUGGUCAAUGGGCGCGAGCCUGAACCAGCCAAGUAGCGUGAAGGAUGACUGCCCUACGGGUUGUAAACUUCUUUUAUAAAGGAAUAAAGUUAGGCACGUGUGCCUUUUUGUAUGUACUUUAUGCAUAAGGAUCGGCUAACUCCGUGCCAGCAGCCGCGGUAAUACGGAGGAUCCGCACGUUCUCCGGAUUUAUUUGGUUUAAAGGGAGAGUAGAUGGGUUGUUAAGUCAGUUGUGAAAGUUUGCGGCUCAACCGUAAAAUUGCAAUUGAUACUGGCAGUCGUGAGUACAGUUGAGGUAGGCGGAAUUCGUGGUGUAGCGGUGAAAUGCUUAGAUAUCACGAAGAACUCCGAGUGCGAAGGCAGCUUACUAAACUGCCACUGACAUUGAUGCACGAAAGUGUGGGUAUCAAACAGGAUUAGAUACCCUUGUAGUC
This 460-nucleotide ribosomal RNA is filed under the name uncultured bacterium. Its description in RNAcentral is "partial 16S ribosomal RNA". It matches the Rfam family "Bacterial small subunit ribosomal RNA", at positions 338 to 795 of the family's 1533-position model. The record is from RNAcentral.